This 508-nucleotide ribosomal RNA is filed under the name uncultured bacterium. RNAcentral's name for it is "partial 16S ribosomal RNA". It matches the Rfam family "Bacterial small subunit ribosomal RNA", at positions 28 to 507 of the family's 1533-position model. The record is from RNAcentral.
GACGAACGCUGGCGGCGUGCUUAACACAUGCAAGUCGAACGGGCCUUGUCCCCUUUUUUUUUGGGGGUGGGGUUAGUGGCGAACGGGUGAGUAACACGUGAGUAACCUGCCCCUCACUUCUGGAUAACCGCUUGAAAGGGUGGCUAAUACGGGGUGUUCUGGCCUGCUCGCAUGGGUGGGUUUGGAAAGAUUCGACCGGUUUUGGUUGUUUUGGUGGGGGAUGGGCUCGCGGCCUAUCAGCUUGUUGGUGGGGUGAUGGCCUGCCAAGGCUUUGACGGGUAGCCGGCCUGAGAGGGUGGGCGGUCACACUGGGACUGAGACACGGCCCAGACUCCUACGGGAGGCAGCAGUGGGGAAUAUUGCACAAUGGGCGCAAGCCUGAUGCAGCGACGCCGCGUGAGGGAUGGAGGCCUUCGGGUUGUGAACCUCUUUCGCCAGUGAAGAGGGUCCUGCUCUUUGUGGUGGGGUUGACGGUAGCUGGGUUAAUGAAGCGCCGGCUAACUACGUG